This 69-nucleotide transfer RNA is filed under the name Telmatherina celebensis (Celebes rainbow). RNAcentral describes it as "tRNA-Ala". It matches the Rfam family "tRNA". From Rfam's summary of the family: Transfer RNA (tRNA) molecules are approximately 80 nucleotides in length. Their secondary structure includes four short double-helical elements and three loops (D, anti-codon, and T loops). Lineage: Eukaryota; Metazoa; Chordata; Actinopteri; Atheriniformes; Telmatherinidae. The record is from RNAcentral.
GAAGCUUUAACUUAAUUAAAGCAUCUGUUUUGCAUGCAGAAGAUGUGGGCUAGUACCCCGUAAGUUUUA